UCCUCCAUUUGUGGGUUUUUGAUUUAGCUUUGCUCGAAUUCUGAGGCUCGAUGUCUCUUGUUAUACGCCUUUCCUCAAUCUACUACAAAACCAUCCCUCACUAUGUUGUCCUUAUUUCCCCCAAAUAUCCAAAUCUCAAUCUCUGCUCUUCCUUCCUAAUCCCCCUUACCACUUUUCCCGCUAUCAAAAUCCCCUAUUUUCCUUUUCUCAGCCAAAAUUUCUCUCCCCCAAUUCCAUUUGGCCUUUCAUUUCGGACGUUGCUACCAGGCUUAAUUGCGACUUCUCGCGUACCUCUUGGAAGAUGUGUAGAAAUCUAAAUUAUGCUCUAGCUCAGGUACUUGGACCACCUCCUUUCAUUCUUCUGUUACUAGAGGGUUGUGUCUUCCCUUGGUUGCAGUGUUCGAUUUGGUGUUUUGGCGAUAUCAAUUUUGGUGGAGUUGGUGAUUAUUGUGUGGUUGCUUUUGUGUUUUUGUGCUUCUGUUUUGUAAGGUUUUCUUGGUUUUGCUAUCUAAUUAAUGGGUUGUGACUUUUUUUGUAUUGUGUUUUUUUUUUUGGUGUUUUUGCUGCUGUAUUUUCAUGUGUGGUGGCAUCUUUCCCCAUCCAUUUGGGCCAUGGUACUGUGCCUGGCUUCCCAACUUUGACAACACUGUUGUUAGUCUGUUAGGGUUUGAAUUUACCUGGCCUUUUGUGGGCUUUAUGCCUUUAGUAGGAUUUAUGUAUGUAAGGACAUCCCCAAUGGGGUCUAUAUUUUGAGGCUCAACCACCAUAAGUCAUUCUAUAGUGUAGGCCUUAUAUAUGACUCUUAGGUGAUGUCAUAUCUCUUAACUAUUGGAUCAGGCUAACCAAUUUGAUCCAACGACUAACUAAUUUGAUCCAACAGUUAAGAGAUAUGGCCUCACCUAAGGGCCAUAUAUAAGGCUCUCAUUAUAGAAUUCUUGCAACCACCAUGAGGCUCUCAACUAUACAGCCCAAUACCAAAAAAAGCAUCCCUAGUGGCAUUGAUUUUGGGCUCUAAAUGAUGAAGCCCCACCGGAGAGGUCUCCAAAUAUGUGGAUAUGGAUAGAUCUCCUUAAGCGAAUACAUAAACAACAAUCCAGAUUGACUGCCUAUUUAGCUUAGUGAACCUAUAAUGGGUUUCAUAAACUACAUUCUUAGAUAAAAUUUAAGUCUGUGUUGCAUGACUUUAGGGGGGGAGGGGGGGAAUGAGGUUCCCUCUUCCUCUCCUUCCUAUAGUGGUUCUUCUCUUGCCUUCUACCUGCUGCCUGUUUCCAGUGGAUCUCUUUGUAGAGAUCUAUUGGCCCCCUUCGCCCUUUUUGUGUGUGGGUGUUUUGCUCUAGCUCUGCUUGAACUUUGAGGCUUUAUGCCUCCGACUUCCUUUAUUUCCCCAACUAUCCAUUCCACCAUCCUUUUCCUUUUAUAUUUCCUACCCCACUCCAUUCAAAUUUCUUCUCUUUAGUCUCGGUCCUAUCUUUUCCCACUGAAUUUUUCUCAUCACUAUUGAUCUGGCUCCACCAUGUGGCUGUUUCGGAUAGUCGGAAACACAUCUUCUUGCGUACAACUCAUAAGAUUAGUAGAGUUCAACCUUUUGCUCUUACUCAGGUGCUUGCACCACCUCCUUCUAUUAUGUCGUCGUUUGUUUAAUUAUUGUAUUUGUUCUGGUGCAUUAUCAGUUUUGAUUUGGGAGAUGUUGAGCUUCAUGUGGUGGCUUCUUUUUUCUUGUUUGUGUUUAUGUAAUAUGUGGAAUUUUAGGGUAUUUGGGUGGAUUUGUGGGUUGUGCAUUUUUUUUCACUUUGUGCCCCUUGGUUGUAGCAACUCAUCCCCUUAACUUGUCUAGGUGGUGUCGUCUCAGACGUUGGUGGCGGCGACUCGGCUGAGUUUUGUUUAGAGUUUGUAUGCUAAUUUGGCCUUUUGUUUGGGCUUUUGUGGGUGGGCUUAAUGCCUUUAUGAGCUUUAGGCUUGUUGUGGCCAUUUGGGCCUCUGGCCUUUUUGCUUUGAUGUUGAGCUCAAUUUGUUAGGUCUCACUUUUAUGUUGUAUUUUUAUGAUUUUCUAAUGAACUUUAGUUCCGACCACCAAACAAAAAAAACAAACAAAAAACAAACAAAAAAACCAAUGGCAAUUUAAAGAAAUUCAAUAUACCAACAUCAAUUUUUUUUUUCUUUUUUGAUUAUUUAAGUAUUUUGUGCAUUUCAAUUUUCCAUAUAAAAUGCACCUCCUUUAAAAAAUUUCACACCACCAAUAUCAUUCACCACAUUUGUUUCUACUUUCAAAGUCUUAAUAAUAUGCGUGUUCGUCGUUUCGGAAUCUUGUGUAAAUUUGAUUAUUUUGUUGUUAAAAGUUAAUAAAAAUAAAUAAUUUUUUUCUUCACAUAAAUCAAAUUACACCAUAAAAAUUCAAUUAUAGAGCCCCUAUUAUGGAAAAGAUACCUUUAGAGUUCAAAAUAUUUCAUCGAAACCCUAAAUGAGGCUCUAUCCACCUUUUUUAGAGCCUCAUUUAGAGAAUAUGAUUGAGGAUGCCCUAAUAAGUUUUAUGGCUAUAGCAACUUUAUUCCUUUUGUGUUGCAUUUCUUUGAGCUCAUUUUACUGAGUUCACUUUGAUGUACUGGCUCUGAAUUUCUAUAUCAAUGAAACUUGUUUCUGACCAAAAAAAUAAAAAAAAAAUAAAAACAGGGUUUGACCUAUUUCUAGAAGAGAGGCUUAAACUUUCAAUAGACUAGGAGCUAGUUGAUCAUGCAUUUUUGUUUGCUGUUACAGCCGCCGCGAGCAUAACUCCAAAUUUGGUAUUCCAAGUCUACGCAUGCAUGGGUCUUGGCAAAACAAACAAAGCACGACUUGUAGUUGUAGAGGUCAUAAUGAUGGAUGGACCAUUUUGGAAGUGUACAAUUCAGAACGUAAAAGCUUCACACAAAUAAGAUUAAUUGUUCUUAUGGAUUUGUUGUAUUCAGAGAAAACUAAUUUAGAUUGAAAUAAAGCACCAUUGACUUUAUUGAAACGAUUAAUAUGUAAGUCAUCUACACGUCGUACAUUUUAGAUCAUAUGCAUAUGCUUAUAUCAUGCAUGCCCUCAGUCUCAGAUAUGCAUGCUGCUUAAUUAAUUAAUUAUCUUUUUUAGUAACACUUUACUUCAUUGGUUGUGUUUGCUGUGUUGGUUGUGUUUGUUUCGUUCAUUGGUUGUCUGUUUUUCACUUUCUAGACUUAAGAGUUGCACUAGACAAAUGGUUAGGAAACAUAAAUAUGAAAGUGCAAAAAGAAAUAGAAGGAGAAAAAUAGAAAAAAUGAUUCAAACUCAAAAAGGAGCUCUUGAUAAGUUUUUUAAAACUAGUUCUUCAAUUGAAGAUUCAGCUAAUGAUUUACUUAAUGAAGGGGUGACGGGGUUGGUGAUCUCAGUGAAAAUGAAAAUAAUCUGGAAGAAAUGACGAUUUACUUUCUUUGGUUUCAGUUUUAUGUCUUAGAAAAUAUGUAUGUUGUUACUUAUUGUAGUUUCUUUGUCCAUUUGUGCUACCAUUUGUUACUUUUCUUAUGUUGUAUGAUUCUUUUUGCAGACCACAAAGAGGAUUUUGCAUGUAAAGUCAUGUGAUGAAGCCUGAAGCCAGACGCCAAUCUUAAGUGAAAGGGUUUAGUAUUUUGAACAAAUACUUAGUUUUAAUGUAUCUUUUGAGAAUACAAAUUACCAAUUUCAGGGACAAUGUUUCCAUUAUUGGUUGCUGGAAUGUUGGUUUGUAAAUUUGUAAUUUCCUCCAUGAU
RNAcentral lists this long non-coding RNA (3740 nucleotides) under Prunus dulcis (almond). RNAcentral describes it as "sRNA ncRNA". Lineage: Eukaryota; Viridiplantae; Streptophyta; Magnoliopsida; Rosales; Rosaceae. The record is from RNAcentral.